UCUCCUAUUCCCCUUCCUCUUCUCUGUUCCGCAGAAAAGUCUCCUCUGAUUCAGCUUACCUCCGCCACCUCCGGCGUUGCUGCACACCGGCGCGAGUUCGUCUCCCUCCUAGAGUUCCCCGCUGAUUACCCGCCGCGGAUGCGUUUUGCCAUCGCACGAACCCCGUGGCAAACCCUAGACGUCCGCGUCGGUGAUAUGGCGCGGGCUACCCAUGGGCAGCGGCUGGGCCCGCCUGCGCUGCACCACGACGACCUGCUCCUAUGGACACCCGCGCUAUCUCAGUAUCACUCUCUCGGCUGGCCUCUAGCAUCGCUGCUGGAUUUAUCCAAUGAUGUUGCACAGCAACAUCUUCAUUGACUCCAGCGUCGAUGGGACAGCGGUGUUGUGGCCUCAAUUGACAGUUAUAGCGAAAACUCCGUCCACCUCCGCGGCUCUGUUUUUUACUGUUGAGGCGCCUAUGGCGCCGCCAUCGAGAGAUUCGUUGGAAAAGGUUGGAACAGCUCCGGCCUCUUCCCACCCUUGCAGCAAGACUCCCAUCCAGGCCAAUGAAGAUUGGAGCACCGACACAUGCGAGGAAAAUAAUGUUGGUUAGGCCACUGAGACAUCACAUCAGAGGGCACUGUGACAUUGAGGUUCUGGCAGAAUUUGCAUUUGGCCCUGCAAGGGCACUGGCAUUCCGCCACCAUGGUUGCAUUCCGCAGAUCGUCCACCGGGAUCUGAAGGCAAGCAACAUCUACUUCAACUUUUACAUGGAGCCUAGAUUGUCUGAUUUUGGGUCAUCAAAGAUCGAUGGGACUAGCACAAACGAGGAUCUGCUGCACCAUUCUCCUGGCUAUGCUCCGGCAGAAUUCUCAAAUUCAAAGAACGCUAAGUCUGACGGCAUCAUGCUGUUUGAGCUGAUCACCGCCAACGAGCCACUGGGUGAUGAGUCCCCUUACCGGAAGGAGGCGAACCUGGUAAACUGGGUGGGGCCAAUGGUUAAGGAAAACCAAGGUCGAGCAUCAUCGAUGUGAAGCUGUGUGAC
This is an RNA transcript of Lolium rigidum, 1024 nucleotides long. RefSeq lists it as uncharacterized. The transcript is spliced from 2 exons. NCBI's taxonomy places the organism in Eukaryota, Viridiplantae, Streptophyta, Magnoliopsida, Poales, Poaceae. The record is from RefSeq and is a predicted model, not a curated record.